Caretta caretta (loggerhead turtle) is the source of this 1313-nucleotide non-coding RNA. Lineage: Eukaryota; Metazoa; Chordata; Testudines; Cheloniidae. The record is from RefSeq and is a predicted model, not a curated record.
AUACCUGCCCGUCAAACCGAGGCUGCGCACGUCAGCAGCUGGGGGCGGGGCCGACCCAGCCAAUCCGCGGCAGCCGCAGCCAGGUACACAGGAAACAGCUGUCCACCUGUUAAAGCCCCAGGAACUUUUGAAUGUUCAUUUCCUGUUUGAUCAGCGUGGAGAGCUCGUCAGCACAGUUGACCAUGGAUGCUGAAGGCCUCAAAUGCACUGAAGCAUGGAGCACACAGGCAGUGGUGGAUCUGAUUGCUGUGUGGGGAGAAGAGUGCAGGCAGAGCUCCAAACCAGCAGAAGAAACACUGACAUCUAUGCCAGACUCACACAGGGCCUGGGGGAGAAGGGCUAGCCCCAGGGACACACGGCAGUGCCGCGUGAAAAUAAAGGCGCUUUGGCAAGCACACCAGAAGACAAGGGAGGCAAACAGUCACUCUGGUUCUGAGCCGCAGACAUGCCGCUUCUAUGGAGGAGCUGCAUGCGGUUCUAGGUGGCGACCCCGCCACUACCCCAAAAUGCUCUGUGGAUACCUCCCAGGAGCUCUGGGUGACCUUGGGCAACAACAAGGAAGACAUUGUUGACAAGGAAGAGGAGGAGGAGAAUGCGUGGCAGGCAAGCGGAGGAUACAUUCUCCCCGAUAGCCAAGAACUUUUUUUGACUCUGGAGCCCAUUCCCGCACAGGACCAGUUGGCAGCAGAGCAUGAUGCUGGGGAAGGCACCUCUGCUGAAACCUUGUCCAGAGGCGCAUCCUCCACACUGAGACAGAGACUUUCCUAGAUUAGAAGGCGGAAAAAGAAGUCUUGGGAGGAUAUGUUCAAUGAGUUAAUGCAUGCCUCCGAGAGUGACAAGAUGGAGCUCAGCGCAUGGAGGAUUAAACUGUCCGACAGCCUGUACAAUGACCGCGAGGACAGAAGAGCAUGCAGGGAACAUGAGUGUGACAUGCAGGAUGAGAUGGUGUGGAUUAUGAGGAAGCAAACAGACAUGUUGAGGCGUCUGGCUGAGGUUCAAGAAAGGCAACUGGAUGUUAGAGUCCCACUGCAGUCUGCACUGAACCUGCUGCCAUUGUCGCCAAGUUCCACAUCCUCCUCUCCCAGAUGUCCUAGGAUGGGGGAGGAGGGGAUUGGGGGAGUCCGGUAUCCCUUGCACUCAACUCCAGGGGAGAGUGCAAAGACCAGAAAGUGCCCAUUCCCACACCUUUGAUUGUUACUGCGGUGCAACUGUAAGCAAGCUGUCCUUGUUUCUCCCCUACCUUCCCCCAAGUUUUAUCUUACUUUUCUUUGCUGUCUCUCAGUGUUUGUGAGCAUAAUAAAAAUAAGUGGAUU